This 702-nucleotide ribosomal RNA is filed under the name uncultured Chloroflexaceae bacterium. RNAcentral describes it as "bacterial SSU rRNA". It matches the Rfam family "Bacterial small subunit ribosomal RNA", at positions 476 to 1185 of the family's 1533-position model. The record is from RNAcentral. Lineage: Bacteria; Bacillati; Chloroflexota; Chloroflexia; Chloroflexales; Chloroflexaceae.
UACCCACUGAAUAAGCCCCGGCUAACCCUCCUGCCAGCCCCCGCGGUAAUACCGAGGGGGCAAGCGUUGUCCGGACUUACUGGGCGUAAAGCGUGCGUAGGCGGUGGGGAGCGUCAGCGCUGAAAACGCCCGGCUUAACCCGGCGGGGUGCGGUGGUACGACCUCACUGGAGGCAGACAGAGGAUGGCGGAAUUCCGGGUGUAGUGGUGAAAUGCGUAGAUAUCCGGAGGAACGUCGGUGGCGAAGGCGGCCCUCUGGGUCUGACCUGACGCUGAGGCACGACAGCGUGGCGAGCGAACCGGAUUAGAUACCCGGGUAGUCCACGCCGUAAACGAUGUUCGCUCGGUGUACGGGAGGGUGCAACCCCUCCUGUGUGCCCAAGUGCGGGCGGUAAGCCGACCGCCUGGGGACUACGGCCGCAAGGCUAAAACUCAAAGGAAUCGACGGGGGCCCGCACCAGCAGCGGAGCGUGUGGUUUAAUUCCACGCCCCGCGCAGAACCUUACCCCGAUUUGACAUCCCACUGCAAGCGCACGGAAACCUGUGACCUGCGAGGGUGUCCCACAGGUGCUGCAUGGCUCCCCUCAGUUCGUGUCCCGCCCCGUUGCGCUAAGUCCCGCAACCAGCCCAACCCCCGCCGUCAGUUAUACCUGUCCGGCGGGACCGCCGGGCUGGCUGCCCCGAGGGAAGGCGGGGAUGACGU